UUGGGAGCCAGGAUGGGGGGGGCGCCUGGGUGGGAGCCCUGGGGCACCCCUGGGCUCAGAUGCCUCGCAGAUGAGGUCACAUCCUCUCCCUCCCCGGCUCCUCCGCGGAUGAAAGGCAAGAGGAGACUGAAAUGGGCUACGUCUUCUUUAUCCAUUCACGGACACUGAAGAACUGGGCUACAAUGGAGACAGUUCUCGGCGGACACAACAUCUUUGUUGGUAUGUGGUGCUGAGGAUCGAACCCGGGCCACACGCAUGCUAGGCGAGCGCGCUACCGCUUGAGCCACAUCCCCAGCCCCGGAAAUGCAUUUUUCAAUUAACCCAUAUAUCCAUGAAUAAAUAAUGCUUACAUGAUUCAACAUCAA
Ictidomys tridecemlineatus (thirteen-lined ground squirrel) is the source of this 365-nucleotide non-coding RNA. The record is from RefSeq and is a predicted model, not a curated record. Lineage: Eukaryota; Metazoa; Chordata; Mammalia; Rodentia; Sciuridae.